CGUCCUUUUUAAUUGAGGUGCUUAAAUGUUAUAUUUAAUAACCUAAAGGGCUGGAGUGCAAUUUUUUUUAUUAGAAUGGUGCAUGUGUGCCGUGUGUAUGGUGUGGUGUUGUGUGUGUGUGUGAUCUUUUAAAACAAAAGAAAAAAAUAGAAGAGAACAAACCCAUCAGAAAGGUUUGUACCAACGUGAGAGAGAGAGAGAGAGAGAGAGAGAGAGAGAGAGAUCAGCCGUGAGGAGAGAAGAAGAAGGAAGAAAGGGAUUAAGGGUUUUGAAGCUUAAUUAGGUAACAAACCGGUCAAAUAGGAGGUGCCGAAACCUUAAGUUUGGUGUAUAUCUCGGUCGAUGCAAAGGUAGCAGGUUGCGUAGAGUGGGUCCACUACCGGUCAUCGUGUUGAGAAGUGUUUGGGCUAGCAUUAGAUGAUGUGGAUGAACGAGUUGGUUGUAGGUAGUAAACUAAAAAGUUGAUUUAUGUAAGUUAUAAAUAAGUCGUUGGUGGAUGUAUUAAAGUGUAAAAUUUUUAAAGUAUUGUAAAACUAUAUUGUUGUUUAGUUGUGUGAGAUCGUGGUUGGUUGGUCGAUACGUCAACUCAUUUUUAUGUUAAGGUGAUAAGUCUUCCGCUGGGUGUUUAUUCUGACA
Rhododendron vialii is the source of this 636-nucleotide long non-coding RNA. RefSeq lists it as uncharacterized. Lineage: Eukaryota; Viridiplantae; Streptophyta; Magnoliopsida; Ericales; Ericaceae. The record is from RefSeq and is a predicted model, not a curated record. The transcript has 3 exons.